This is a long non-coding RNA of Cygnus olor (mute swan), 608 nucleotides long. RefSeq lists it as uncharacterized. The transcript has 3 exons. Lineage: Eukaryota; Metazoa; Chordata; Aves; Anseriformes; Anatidae. The record is from RefSeq and is a predicted model, not a curated record.
UAAUGAAUAAAAAUGAUAUAAAGAAGCAAUGAACUUUCAAUGUUUUAUAUUUAAAAUACAUUUUGUGAGGAAAACAAUGUGCCAUAGAAACAGGACUGAAAGGUUCUCCAAGAUAAUGCCAGCAACUGCAAGAUGUUAGCAGCGUUGUCGUCCAUUCCCUCUCUCCAAAGGAAAGAGGAGUCAGGAGGAACAGCAGUAUAUGCACAUGAGAAAAACUGGUGAAAACGAUUCAUGAGUGGAUGGACGUACAGAACAGCCAGGACUGAGCCAUACACAGCAAAGCGAGCAGGAGGUGUUCAAACAGAGCAACAUUUCCACAUGCUACGUGUCGGCCCAACACCUGCAUCUCUAUGGGGCUUCUUUGCUGCUCACCUUCUGCUUGGCAUCAGCACUGGAGCAGGGCUCAUCUAGGUGACGGUCACCCAGGACCUGGCAUGUGUGGGACCCGUGGUCAUGCUGUGGGGCUGAGCUGAGAGGAGACAGGAGCUCACGCUGCCUUCCCUGAACACCUUUGGUCUGAACGUGUUAGAGUACUUUGAAGAGAGAAAACCACUGCCUCUGUAUUAUCAGCACCAUCGGGGGAAAGCAGCCAAAAUGUCUGUUGGAGA